GUGUUUGCUCUGGCAGCUCCUGUACUAAAGUUGGAAUGAUACAGAGAUCACCACGGACCCUGGGCAAGGAUGACAUGCAAAUUUGUUAGGUGUUCCAUAUUUUU
Small nuclear RNA from Arvicanthis niloticus (Nile rat), 104 nucleotides. The record is from RefSeq and is a predicted model, not a curated record. Lineage: Eukaryota; Metazoa; Chordata; Mammalia; Rodentia; Muridae.